GAGCGGACAGAUGGGAGCUUGCUCCCUGAUGUUAGCGGCGGACGGGUGAGUAACACGUGGGUAACCUGCCUGUAAGACUGGGAUAACUCCGGGAAACCGGGGCUAAUACCGGAUGGUUGUUUGAACCGCAUGGUUCAAACAUAAAAGGUGGCUUCGGCUACCACUUACAGAUGGACCCGCGGCGCAUUAGCUAGUUGGUGAGGUAACGGCUCACCAAGGCAACGAUGCGUAGCCGACCUGAGAGGGUGAUCGGCCACACUGGGACUGAGACACGGCCCAGACUCCUACGGGAGGCAGCAGUAGGGAAUCUUCCGCAAUGGACGAAAGUCUGACGGAGCAACGCCGCGUGAGUGAUGAAGGUUUUCGGAUCGUAAAGCUCUGUUGUUAGGGAAGAACAAGUACCGUUCGAAUAGGGCGGUACCUUGACGGUACCUAACCAGAAAGCCACGGCUAACUACGUGCCAGCAGCCGCGGUAAUACGUAGGUGGCAAGCGUUGUCCGGAAUUAUUGGGCGUAAAGGGCUCGCAGGCGGUUUCUUAAGUCUGAUGUGAAAGCCCCCGGCUCAACCGGGGAGGGUCAUUGGAAACUGGGGAACUUGAGUGCAGAAGAGGAGAGUGGAAUUCCACGUGUAGCGGUGAAAUGCGUAGAGAUGUGGAGGAACACCAGUGGCGAAGGCGACUCUCUGGUCUGUAACUGACGCUGAGGA
RNAcentral lists this ribosomal RNA (706 nucleotides) under Bacillus subtilis. RNAcentral describes it as "bacterial SSU rRNA". It matches the Rfam family "Bacterial small subunit ribosomal RNA", at positions 64 to 752 of the family's 1533-position model. Lineage: Bacteria; Bacillati; Bacillota; Bacilli; Caryophanales; Bacillaceae. The record is from RNAcentral.